Molecule: ribosomal RNA, 556 nt
Filed under: uncultured bacterium
Lineage: Bacteria
Description: partial 16S ribosomal RNA
Rfam family: Bacterial small subunit ribosomal RNA
Source: RNAcentral
UAGGGAAUCUUCCACAAUGGACGCAAGUCUGAUGGAGCAACGCCGCGUGAGUGAAGAAGGUUUUCGGACCGUAAAGCUCUGUUGUUGGUGAAGAAGGAUAGAGGUAGUAACUGGCCUUUAUUUGACGGUAAUCAACCAGAAAGUCACGGCUAACUACGUGCCAGCAGCCGCGGUAAUACGUAGGUGGCAAGCGUUGUCCGGAUUUAUUGGGCGUAAAGCGAGCGCAGGCGGAAGAAUAAGUCUGAUGUGAAAGCCCUCGGCUUAACCGAGGAAUUGCAUCGGAAACUGUUUUCUUGAGUGCAGAAGAGGAGAGUAGAACUCCAUGUGUAGCGGUGGAAUGCGUAGAUAUAUGGAAGAAUACCAGUGGCGAAGGCGGCUCUCUGGUCUGCAAACUGACGCUGAGGCUCGAAAAGCAUGGGUAGCGAACAGGAUUAGAUACCCUGGUAGUCCAUGCCGUAAAACGAUGAGUGCUAAGUGUUGGGAGGCUUCCGCCUCUCAGUGCUGCAGCUAACGCAUUAAGCACUCCGCCUGGGGAGUACGACCGCAAGGUUGAAAC